This 272-nucleotide long non-coding RNA is filed under the name Ananas comosus (pineapple). RNAcentral describes it as "long non-coding RNA (ACOM_LNC005665)". Lineage: Eukaryota; Viridiplantae; Streptophyta; Magnoliopsida; Poales; Bromeliaceae. The record is from RNAcentral.
GGAGGAUCGGUGGCCGGGGUUUUGACGGCCCGAGGGAGAGGAGGGGUCCCGGUGGUGGGGGCUUUGAUGUGUUCAAUAGCGUUCCUGGGUCGGAUGCAGAGACCUGGGGGAAGAAGAAGGAGGAAGGUAAUGGGCCGGAUGCGGAGACCUGGGGGAAGAAGAGGGAGGAAGGUAAUAGCGGCAGCAGUGGGAGGCCGAGGCUGGUGUUGCAGCCACGAUCUCUGCCGUUAGCUAAUGGAAGUAACGGGAGCCGGAAGGGGUCGAACCCCUUU